UACGGGGGGAGCAAGCGUUGUUCGGAUUUACUGGGCGUAAAGGGCGCGUAGGCGGCCACCGCAAGUCGGUUGUGAAAUCUCUGGGCUUAACCCAGAAAGGUCAACCGAUACUGCGGGGCUAGAGUGCAGAAGGGGCAACUGGAAUUCUCGGUGUAGCGGUGAAAUGCGUAGAUAUCGAGAGGAACACCUGCGGCGAAGGCGGGUUGCUGGGCUGACACUGACGCUGAAGCGCGAAAGCUAGGGGAGCGAGCGGG
Molecule: ribosomal RNA, 254 nt
Filed under: uncultured bacterium
Lineage: Bacteria
Description: partial 16S ribosomal RNA
Rfam family: Bacterial small subunit ribosomal RNA
Source: RNAcentral